GAUGAAGAACGUAGCGAAAUGCGAUAAGUAAUGUGAAUUGCAGGAUUCAGUGAAUCAUCGAAUCUUUGAACGCACAUUGCGCCCCUUGGUAUUCCGAGGGGCAUGCCUGUUCGAGCGUCAUUAUAACCCUCAAGCUCAGCUUGGUGUUGGGGCCUGCUGCACUGGCAGCCCUUAAAAUCAGUGGCGGCGCCAUCUGGCUCUAAGCGUAGUAAUUCUUCUCGCUAUGGAGUCCUGGUGGAUGCUUGCCAUCAACCCCCAAUUUUUCUAUGGUUGACCUCGGAUCAGGUAGGGAUACCCGCUGAACUUAAGCAUAUCAAUAAGCGGAGGA
This 328-nucleotide unclassified non-coding RNA is filed under the name soil metagenome. Its description in RNAcentral is "partial contains 5.8S ribosomal RNA, internal transcribed spacer 2, and large subunit ribosomal RNA". The stretch from base 1 to 120 matches the Rfam family "5.8S ribosomal RNA", at positions 35 to 154 of the family's 154-position model. The record is from RNAcentral.